UUCAGGAAAACAUAGAAUUCGAAACCCAGUUACCAGCUCUCACCAGCAGAUGCAUAAGAUACGAUGCAGCAUUUGCAAACGGAGAUGACAGGAGCAAUUGCCGAUGACGGUUUUGAGGUUCGAGUGGGGAAAAACAGGAAACGGAGGAAGAGAAAGAAUCAAAGUUUGGAUUUAUCAAAUACUUUGUAGAUAGUCCAUGCAUUUUGCAGCUGGAAUCUUUUGGUAAAUACUUAACCUUUUAAUCAAAGCCUAUAUAUGCCAAUAGGUUUUGUAAGUGGCAUCAAAUAAUUAAUUGCUUUUUUCUUGGUAAGUACCAAAAUGUUUACACUUUCAGCUUAACAAAAAAUAAUAAAUUGAGACAAACUUGGAACCUAAUAA
Pyrus x bretschneideri (Chinese white pear) is the source of this 378-nucleotide long non-coding RNA. RefSeq lists it as uncharacterized. The transcript is spliced from 2 exons. The record is from RefSeq and is a predicted model, not a curated record. Lineage: Eukaryota; Viridiplantae; Streptophyta; Magnoliopsida; Rosales; Rosaceae.